AGUAACGCGUAUGCAACUUACCUAUCAGAGGGGGAUAACCCGGCGAAAGUCGGACUAAUACCGCAUGAAGCAGGGGCCCCGCAUGGGGAUAUUUGCUAAAGAUUCAUCGCUGAUAGAUAGGCAUGCGUUCCAUUAGGCAGUUGGCGGGGUAACGGCCCACCAAACCGACGAUGGAUAGGGGUUCUGAGAGGAAGGUCCCCCACAUUGGUACUGAGACACGGACCAAACUCCUACGGGAGGCAGCAGUGAGGAAUAUUGGUCAAUGGGCGUAAGCCUGAACCAGCCAAGUCGCGUGAGGGAUGAAGGUUCUAUGGAUCGUAAACCUCUUUUAUAAGGGAAUAAAGUGCGGGACGUGUCCCGUUUUGUAUGUACCUUAUGAAUAAGGAUCGGCUAACUCCGUGCCAGCAGCCGCGGUAAUACGGAGGAUCCGAGCGUUAUCCGGAUUUAUUGGGUUUAAAGGGUGCGUAGGCGGCCUUUUAAGUCAGCGGUGAAAGUCUGUGGCUCAACCAUAGAAUUGCCGUUGAAACUGGGGGGCUUGAGUAUGUUUGAGGCAGGCGGAAUGCGUGGUGUAGCGGUGAAAUGCUUAGAUAUCACGCAGAACCCCGAUUGCGAAGGCAGCCUGCCAAGCCAUGACUGACGCUGAUGCACGAAAGCGUGGGGAUCAAACAGGAUUAGAUACCCUGGUAGUCCACGCAGUAAACGAUGAUCACUAGCUGUUUGCGAUACACUGUAAGCGGCACAGCGAAAGCGUUAAGUGAUCCACCUGGGGAGUACGCCGGCAACGGUGAAACUCAAAGGAAUUGACGGGGGCCCGCACAAGCGGAGGAACAUGUGGUUUAAUUCGAUGAUACGCGAGGAACCUUACCCGGGUUUGAACGCAUUCGGACCGAGGUGGAAACACCUUUUCUAGCAAUAGCCGUUUGCGAGGUGCUGCAUGGUUGUCGUCAGCUCGUGCCGUGAGGUGUCGGCUUAAGUGCCAUAACGAGCGCAACCCUUGCCACUAGUUACUAACAGGUAAUGCUGAGGACUCUGGUGGGACUGCCAGCGUAAGCUGCGAGGAAGGCGGGGAUGACGUCAAAUCAGCACGGCCCUUACAUCCGGGGCGACACACGUGUUACAAUGGCGUGGACAAAGGGAUGCCACCUGGCGACAGGGAGCGAAUCCCCAAACCACGUCUCAGUUCGGAUCGGAGUCUGCAACCCGACUCCGUGAAGCUGGAUUCGCUAGUAAUCGCGCAUCAGCCAUGGCGCGGUGAAUACGUUCCCGGGCCUUGUACACACCGCCCGUCAAGCCAUGGGAGCCGGGGGUACCU
This 1312-nucleotide ribosomal RNA is filed under the name Parabacteroides distasonis. RNAcentral's name for it is "bacterial SSU rRNA". It matches the Rfam family "Bacterial small subunit ribosomal RNA", at positions 109 to 1422 of the family's 1533-position model. Lineage: Bacteria; Pseudomonadati; Bacteroidota; Bacteroidia; Bacteroidales; Tannerellaceae. The record is from RNAcentral.